RNAcentral lists this ribosomal RNA (253 nucleotides) under uncultured bacterium. RNAcentral's name for it is "partial 16S ribosomal RNA". It matches the Rfam family "Bacterial small subunit ribosomal RNA", at positions 524 to 776 of the family's 1533-position model. The record is from RNAcentral.
UACGAAGGGGGCUAGCGUUGCUCGGAAUCACUGGGCGUAAAGCGCACGUAGGCGGUUCGUUAAGUCAGGGGUGAAAUCCUGGAGCUCAACUCCAGAACUGCCUUUGAUACUGGCGAUCUUGAGUUCGGGAGAGGUGAGUGGAACUGCGAGUGUAGAGGUGAAAUUCGUAGAUAUUCGCAAGAACACCAGUGGCGAAGGCGGCUCACUGGCCCGAUACUGACGCUGAGGUGCGAAAGCGUGGGGAGCAAACAGG